CUCUUGCAACCCGAUUCACAAAGGGUUGAAGGGGCUUUUUCCAACACGGUUGUGCCCUGGAGAUGUUAAUUAAUUGCAGAACUUUUCGAUUGCUAAUCUUCCUUUCCCUCUGCUUUUAAAACACAGUUCAGCUUUUUAGGAUGCAGGCCCAGUCCCGACGGGAUGUGAGCUUUCUUAACUGUACAUACAUGGUAAAUAAUUGAUACCUGCCAUAUGUUACUAAUCUUCUGCCCCUCCUUCCUUUGGCUCCCCUUGGAUGUCCAUUUCUUUCUUUUCUACUUUACCCUAACCACCAUUUUUCUUUCCUUUAUCAAUCGUGCCCUUUUCUUAUUGGUUUAGUCCGCAGUCACCUCCGGUCCUUUUGUCUUCGCAAGGCUGGAUCCUGAUUUCAUUAGCUCCUGAGUUCAAUGAGGCUGUCGCUGAUUUUAUUCAAGUAGAAAUGGGAUUAGACUCUCACUCUGCAGGUGAGCUCCUGGAUGUUUUAAAUCGUGGGUGAGUCUGAGACUUAUUUUAAUGAAACAGGAUUUUAGCAGCCUCUAUCAAAUAUUUUUUCUCCAUUAGGGCUGCCUCAUACACAGCAAGUUUCAAUAUGGAUAUCACUUUCGUGUAGGGAAAAGGCACACACCACAUGAGUUUCACUCCUGCAUUCAGAAGCGACGGGAAACAAUGCUGGUUUAUUUGCAUUCUAGUUUUCAGGGGGGGGUGCUGUUUCCAUGGUGAUUUAGGAUUAAAUCUGAUUAUUGAUCGCAUAGUUUGCUCUCAACCUGUUGAAAUCCACCUCGAGGGGGUGUAAAAAAAUAAAUCUAUAAUUAUCUUAUAUAAGUAAUAUUUCUGUUCAGAUUUAUUGCUUAAAACCAUUGGUCAUCACAAUACAAACCAAGGGAAAUGCAUACCGAAUGAGAUGAGAAAUAGAACAGAAUUAAGUACAAAUCAAUUAAUUUAGUUUUAAGCCUGGCAGUCGCUCCAAUAAGUUGAUUAAAAAUACGAGAUUCACACAUGACACUGUAUCAGAGUGUGUGUGUUUUCUUCCUCUCCCUCCAUCAACCUAUGUAUUCCGAUGUAGGAAAACAUGUGAGCUGACCGAAGGAAUAAAGAUAGCAAUGUAAACAUUUUCACUUUCUUAAUCCAACCGUUCUAUUGGUUGAAAUGGGUGAAUUUUAGAUAAAACCAAAGCAAUUCACUCAAAGGUUUCAAAGCUGCGGGAAAAGAGGGGCAGGGAGAGAAUAUUGGAUCCAAGACUUUUCUUCCCUCCCCAGUGCUUCUCCAUUAGGGCUGCCUCAUACACAGCAAGUUUCAAUAUGGAUAUCACUUUCGUGUAGAGCCAGUGUGGUGUAGUGGUUAAGAGCGGUAGUCUCGUAAUCUGGGGAACUGGGUUCGCGUCUCCGCUCCUCCACAUGCAGCUGCUGGGUGACCUUGGGCCAGUAACACUUCUCUGAAGUCUCUCAGCUCCACUCACCUCACAGAGUGUUUGUUGUGGGGGAGGAAGGAAAAAGGAGAAUGUUAGCCGCUUUGAGACUCCUUAAAGGGAGUGAAAGGCGGGAUAUCAAAUCCAAACUCUUCUUCUUCUUCUUCUUCUGCUAGGAAAUCAAAAACCCCAACCUAACCUAGGGCAGCGGGGUGCAGGUGGCGCUGUGGGUUAAACCACAGAGCCUAGGGCUUGCCAAUCGGAAGGUCGGCUGUUCGAAUCCCCGCGAUGGGGUGAGCUCUCAUUGUUCAGUCCCAGCUCCUGCCCACCUAGAAGUUCAAAAGCACGUCAAAGUGCAAGUAGAUAAAUAGGUACCGCUCUGGCGGGAAGGUAAACGGCGUUUCCGUGCACUGCUCUGGUUCGCCAGAAGCGGCUUAGUCAUGCUGGCCAUGUGACCCUCGGCCAAUAAAGUGAGAUGAGCGCCGCAACCCCAGAGUCGGUCACGACUGGAUCUAAUGGUCAGGGGUCCCUUUACCUUUACCUUUACCCUAGGGCAGGAUAGUAUACGUUCCUUCACAUGGGUUGUACAGUGGUACCUCAGUUUUCGAACGUAAUCCGUUCCGGAAGAUAGUUCGACUUCCAAGUCAUGUUCGAAAACCGAAGCAUUUACUUCCGGGUUUAUGGUGUUCGAGUUCCGAAACGUUUGUUAACGGAGACGUUCGGAAACCGAGGUACCACUGUACACAGUUGUUAUGUAUGCCGGCGUGGUUGCUCGAGAGCGAACAGGCAAGAUUCCCACUGGUCUUUUCAAGGCGUUAUUAUCGGUGCAAAACAUUUACAGUGCAGAGUGUCUCAAUUCCAUGUCUGCUCAGUCGCUAGCAGAAUCUGGGAGUGGGCGGUCCUUAAACUUUCCCCAGCAUAGCAGUCUUUUGACCCCCAUCCUACACCCCCCCUCUGCGCGUAAACCGACUGCACAGAGAGGGCGUGGGCGAUGGGCGACCUGCCUCCCCCCCUCUUUGCUCAGGCUCGGUUUUGCGGCUCUCUCUUGCAUCUUCCGAGCCCUGCAUCCCUUCGCCGGAGGAAGAGCUGCUUCUCACGAUCUUCGGAGGCUCCCUGUAACCCAACUGCCCUUCCACCUCUUGCCUCUGUGCUGAUGGCACUUCCCUGACAAUGGUAUUUGUUGUUGGUGUUGUUGUUUUAAGAUUUCUUCUCUGCCCUUCACCAUAAUGUCCAAGGGUGGGUUACAACAAUUUAACAAUACAAUAUUCAAAACCAUUAAGUCAGAUUUAAACACAUUGUAGGCUGAGCACACCAGUUCUUGCUUCUGAGACUGAGCACUCUCAGGCUUCAAAGUGAGUGUGUGUGUGUGUGUGUGUGUGUUAUGGGUAAGGGGAGGUCCUGGAUUUUUGUUUUGUUUUGUUUUGUUUUUGGAUGAGAGAUAACCCUAGAAUAGAGUUAGCGGGUUCCAUGUCAGGAUGCCGUUGGGGAAUAUUUUUGCAAGAAGACUGUUCAACAUCUGUGGUAUACCGCAACACACAAUUUUCUGUUUCCUGUAUCUAAUAAUAAUAAUAAUAAUAAUAAUAAUUAUACCCCGUCCAUCUGGCUGGGUCUCCCCAGCCACUCUGUGUGGCUUCCAACAAAAUAUUAAAAAUACAAUGUAGUAUCAAACAUUAAAAACUUCCCUAAACAGGGCUGCCUUCUAAGAGUCAGAUAGUUGUUUAUUUCCUUGACAUCUGAUGGGAGACUGUUCCACAGGGUGGGUGCCACUACCGAGAAGGUCCUCUGCCUGGUUCCCUGUAACUUGGCUUCUCACAGUGAGGGAACUGCCAGAAGGCCCUUGGAGCUGGACCUCAGUGUCUGGGCAGAAUGAUGGGGGUGGAGACGCUCCUUCAGGUAUACUGAGCCAAUGCGAUUUAGGGCUAUCAAACAAAGGCCCCACCUGCCCUAUGCAUUAAAAUCUGUAUCGUAUCACUUUAAACAAUCAUGGCUUCCCCCAAAGAAUCCUGGGAGCUGUAGUUUGUUAAAGGAGUCAUUUGGAGUCCACUAUUCCCCUCACAGAGCUACAAUUUUCAGAGUGCCCUAGGAGGAGGGCUUGAUUGUUAAACCACUCUGUUGUCUAUUGUGUCAUGUUGUACCCUAAUGAAAAAUAAAGGAAUAUGUUGGAUCAUCAUCAGAAGGCUGGAUGUUCUGCUUAGGAUCUGGAUUUCAGCUAAGAGUUUUAAUAAUGUCAGAUGCUCCACUAAAAUCAAUGGAAGAUCCUGAUGUAUCCUUUGGUUCCUUUAUAUUUCAUGCCUCUCUUGUAACAACAGCGGGUUUCAGGAAAGCACCACGUGGGACUGAGUUAUAAAGGGAAGAUGAAUCAUCAGAGACUAGCAGGGUGCCUUAAAAUGCAAGAAUAGGGAGAUGUGAGAAAAAACACAUAUGUGUGAAUCACAGAAGGGCAGAGCCUUUAAUUUUCUGGAUGGAGGUAAGCCCUCACUCCAGUCUCAUCAUGUGUGUGUAGGUGUUAGAUGCUGAAUGUGGAUUUAGAUCUUUUAAAAAUGAACCCAUGUUGUAAUGUUGUAGGCCAGUUUAUUAAGGUUUAUUUGGAAUCAGCAUACUGUGAAUGGACCACAACGUACAAAAAUGGAUUCGAACAAAAAUUUGAGCUUUGUCACGGAAGCCUGACAACCCCAAGUUUUUAAUUUUUAGAAGGAAUGUGUUUGGAGACCUCGUGGUAGUAGAGAAGAGCCAGAAAUAAGGCAGUUUCUGAUAAACUGUGCACAAGCAUGAGUUUUGGCAUUAUAAUUGUCAGGGAACUGACAUCGGAGCUAGAGGCGGAGGGGAGGCUCUCAAAUGAUGCUGGAGAAGGGCCCAGCAGGGAGAGAGGCAGCUCAGCAGAUGGGAAAGCAAAUCAGAGAUAAAGGGGGGCAGAUGGGGGAAUCGGCGAGAGGGCUCCCGGACUCUUCACCGGACACCAGCGGGGAGAGCACGGGUCCUCCGCUACCCACGCCCUCCCUGCGCAGAAGGCUUCUGCGCAGGGAGAGUAGGAGGAGACUUGGCAUCAAACAACUUUUAUGUUGGAAAAGGUUUAAGAAACGCCCACUGACGGAUUCUGCUAGCGACUGAGGCAGCCACGAAGUGAAGGGCUGUCCAGACAGAAAGGUUUAAACAAGGCAACAUAGCCAGGAGAGGCGGCAACUUACGCACGAGCAACCCAUACUCAUUACAAUAAUGCAAAGUUGUUAUCCUUUUGUUGUGAUCGUACCAGGGCUUCUUCCAUACUAGUCAUUUAGUCUGCAACUGAAUUCUUCAUUUGCUCAGAUUAUAUGGACAAUCCAGAUGUUAUAAUUACCACCCAUUGAAUUCCAAUGUUCCCCUUUAUUUAAAAAAUAAUAAUGUAUGACUUACAAUUGCAACAAUGGCCUGCCCAAUGUUGGUUAGCAAAAUUCUCCUGAGACUUUUCAGGGCUAUAGUCCCUUUAAUUAGUAGCUUUGUCCUUGCCUCUUUCUAUGAGAGUGCUUCAUUUUUGUUUCCUACUCAGUCCUGUGGCUAUGAUAUCCCUGAAUUGCCCUUAAUGAGUUCCUGUUCCCUGAGGGGGGAGGUGUUAAUUACUGCUUUCCUCUUUGCAGCUAGAGCAAUUGUUCAUUAAUUUUAUUUUUAAUUAGUGCUAUUUUGCCAUUUUACUUCCUUUUGUCCGCCCUAGGCCUACUGACAAUAUUAUAAUCCAUUUUAUUUUUCACUUAUUUAUUUGUUGAAUUAGUAUAUUACUUUUCAUCUGAAGAACACAGGGUGGUAAACAACAUAAAAAUACAAAAUGAGAACCCAAAAUACGUAGCAAAAAGAAGAACGGAACCAAAAAAAAAUCAAUAGCCCCACUAGAUUGAUGUGGACUCUUAAUAUGGUAACAGUUGAUUGAGUGUCUCUAACCAACUGGUUCCCAGGGUAUAGCUAGCUGUAAUAAUGAUAAUAAUAAUAAUAAUAAUAAUAAUAAUAAUUUUAUACCCCACCCAUCCUGAUGCUGCAAUAUAAUAUAAUAUAAUAUAAUAUAAUAUAAUAUAAUAUAUAAUAUAAUAUAAUAUAAUAUAAUAUAAUAUAAUAUAAUAUAUUUUAUAUUUUAUUCUAUUAAUAUAAUAUAUAUAUAAUAAGUGCAUGUUUUUUAAAAAUGUAAAUAGUAGGUGAAAGGGAACCCAAACAACAUUAGAACCUUAGGGACCAGAGAGGGACCAGAAAUACACCCAUAGACGCCCAACUGUUGUUUGCAUCAGGAAAGCAACCUGUAUUAGUACUAAUGAGGAGUUUCGCUCCAUUUACAAAUUGUUGUUGUUGUUUAGUCGUUUAGUCGUGUCCGACUCUUCAUGACCCCAUGGACCAGAGCACGCCAGGCACUCCUGUCUUCCACUGCCUCUCGCAGUUUAGUCAAACUCGUGCUGGUAGCUUCGAGAACACUGUCCAACCAUCUCGUCCUCUGUCGUCCCCUUCUCCUUGUGCCCUCCAUCUUGCCCAACAUCAGGGUCUUUUCCAGGGAGUCUUCUCUUCUCAUGAGGUGGCCAAAGUACUGGAGCCUCAGCUUCAGGAUCUGUCCUUCCACUGAGCACUCAGGGCUAAUUUCCUUAAGAAUGGAGAGGUUUGAUCUUCUUGCAGUCCAUGGGACCCUCAAGAGUCUCCUCCAGCACCAUAAUUCAAAAGCAUCAAUUCUUCGGCGAUCAGCCUUCUUUAUGGUCCAAUUUACAAAUAGCAACUUUGGAUUUUGGGCUGGCAGGUGGUAGUUUUGAUCAAGCUAUUUGGAUUGGGCUUGCUAUCCUUUUACUUGCCAUUUUCUAGCAUUUCCCCAGCUCUAAAAUAUCUGUCCCCUGCCUUUCUUACCUGGGAUGCCCAGAACCGCUUACAUUAUUCUAAAUGUAGUUAAAAACCAUAGAUUUAUACCAGGUGUAGGGAACCUGUGGCCCUCCUGGUGUGGUUGGAUUCCAGCUGCCAUCAAUCAUAGCCAGCAGGGCAUCAGGGAUGGCAGGACUUGCAAUCCAACCCGGAAGGCAGGGAUAUCCCCACCCUUGAUUUCUAGAAUGGCAGAUAUCGUAUCUGCCAUCUUAUUUCCAAUCCAAAUUACUCUCAGCACCGAAUUUUCCUUUCCCCCUCCCAUAGCGCACAAGAUUUAGUCAUGGAAAGUGCUAGUUUGUGAAUUACAGAAAAAGCUGCUCCUGUUUCACAAGUCUUCCCCCUCUCCCACCCUUGGAGGUAUAUGCGAUCUGCCAGAGCUCUAAUUAAUACUUGGGAAUAACCCACAUGAAUUCUCAUCGAUAUAUUUUGGAUAUCCUCUUUAUCAGCUUCUUGGAGAUGCUCUGAGGCAUCACAUUGUGAAGCACGCAGAUUCCAUUAUGUGCCUCUGUGUCUCUGUACUACACGGGCUAGUUUUAUCACCCUUUCCCCUUAAUUAACAAGUGGAGAUAAGGAAAUGUGAUUCUGCGACAUGAAGAUAGCAGGCGUGUCCAUGGAGGAGAACAUGCCGCUUUGUGUCUUUGGAAGGUUUCUACAGGAGACACCCGGAAAAUAAUAAAAAGGCUUAGACAGAUUCCCCUUGAGCUGACCUUUUGUGGACUGCCCUCCCCACAAUACUGAACCAUCAGUCAUACUUGGCCAGCGAAGUGUCAAUAAUUGAAUAACAGUGUGACAAGCAAGGGAAAUAUCUCUAGAUAAACGCUCAGUUCUAUCUGCACCAGUAUAUACGCUUUGGGUCUCAAUGUUCCAUCUCCAAAGAACUCGGUUCAGAGAAGGCAUUGAGUCAGAAAUGCAUUGAGUCAGUUUUGUUUUCCCUGAGUCUUCUUGACUCUAUCCUUUAGAGGCCACUUGUUCUCCUCAGAGGACUUGUCUCUCAAUAUGAUGGAGAGCUCCUCCUUAGCACAAGCUCUGAACCUAAUCCUGAGAGGUGUAACAAGUACAAAUGUGUUUUAUACACAGAGAGAGAGAGAGCGCAUUUUUGAACUGCUUUAAGAAUGUGAGAGAACACUGGCAUUCUGCACUAGAGCUUAAAUUUGCAUCUCUUUCUAAAAGUCUAAUUCUUUAUGACGACCAUUAUGGUUUCUUCCCCCCACCGUUCUCCAAAUCUUGUCACUGGCUUCUAUCUUGGUAAACAAGGUAAAGGGAACCCUGACCAUUAGGUCCAGUCGCGGACGACUCUGGGGUUGCGGCGCUCAUCUCGCUCUAUAGGCUGAGGGAGCCGGCGUUUGUCUGCAGACAGCUUCUGGGUCAUGUGGCCAGCAUGACUAAGCUGCUUCUGGCGAACCAGAGCAGAGCACAGAAAUGCCGUUUGCCUUCCCGCCGGAGGUGAAUUUAUCUACUUGCACUACUUGCACUAUCCCUAUUUAUCUACUUGCACUUUUGACGUGCUUUCGAACUGCUAGGUUGGCAGGAGCAGGGGCCGAGCAACGGGAGCUCACCCCGUCGCAGGGAUCUGAACCGCCGACCUUCUGAUCGGCAGUCCUAGGCUCUGUAGUUUAACCCACAGCGCCACCCGCGUCCCUUGUUUACCGCGUCUUUGGUAAACAAAGAGCAGGGAUAUUUCUAUCAAGGCUGUGUUCCAAGCAUGAGAAUUCAAAAUGGUGUGUUUUCUUUUGCUUCUUGGUUUCCCAUUUCCCAAUUCAUUGACGUCUACCCUUUAAUUAUUAUUUUUUAAGGGAAUUUGAGAAGCGUCCUACCUUCCCCCAUUGUCAGGUGUGCACGCAGGAGCCAGGCCCUGUGACCAAUAGGACUGUGCAGGACUGGGGCCUUCCUAAGUUUGUUCUGGAAAGGCGAGGUGCGGCCUCACAGGUGAGGCCGAUUGGUAACUCACAGCACCUGGUGGCAAGAGCUGGGAAGAGAGAUAAGGUCAGCAUUUCCCUUCGGCUCUUUGCCACAGCAACACACUUCCUGCCUUGCUGCGUUUGGCUUCUUGCUUCCUGAUCCUUGAACCUCGACUUCUUGACUCCUUGCUUCUUGAUCCUUGGACCCCUGACUUCGUGACUCCUUGCUUCCUGACCCUCGCACCCUUGGCUCCUGACUCCUGGCUUCUGGACCCCCGUUCCUGCUCCCAUCCCGCCAUCUUGCCCCCGGUCCUGAUGUCCCCUGCCAGAGCUUCGAUCGCCCAUGAACUGGACCGUGACACCCAUGCUGUAAGUACUGCUAAGCAUUCAGUAAGCUGGUCAAAGAAAACCUCCAGUGACCUUUUCAUCAUUUCUACAGGCAUUUUGUGGCAGUAAGGGCUAUAUUUUCAACUCCAGAUAAUGGAGAGUCAUUUGUGGCCAAUGGUCAGGGAUGAUGGGAGUUGUAGUCUAGCAACCACACCUGGAGGUCUGCAAGUUCCCCACACCUGCAGGUAACCAGAUGCAACAGAUACAUCUGGUUACCUGCAGCCUGUGGUUUUUUUUUAAAUAAAGUUUUUAUUGAUACAACAAGAAAAAAGAAAAAAAACAAAUACCAAAUUACACACAAGAAUAACCAUAGACACAUAAUUUUCUUAGCAAACAAUAAAACAUCUAUUGGUCUUAACACUAAAGACCCAACCUCCCAUCUAUUCCAUAUUUCAAAUUCAUAUUACUUAUUGCCAAUACACUUUUAUCAUAAUUAAAUUUAUUCUUAAUCUAAUUUCUUAUAUCUACCUUGCAACUAUUACUGAAGUUCCUCGAAUGCUGCAACAGAAUUUAAACUGCUAUAUUUAUUUUUCAUUCUUUGAAAACCUCCCAUUCUUUGAAAACCUCCCAUUAUUUUUUUUAAUAAAUAUUUUUAUUAGAUUUUCCAUAAAAAAACAUUUUUACAAAAUUAUACAUCCAUUUUUAACUUAAACCCUUUUUUCCAGAACUUCCCUCAGCUUCUCUGAUAAUUUUCCGUUUAUUUUUUAUCCUCGUCUCACAUUUCCCAAUAUUAUAUUGCACUCAAAUAGUCUUAAUCACAUCAUAUUUUUUAAACAAUAUUUCUAACAGUAAUUUCACAGAGCUUCUUGAAAGCCAACGAACGUUAUUUGCUCAUCACCCUUGGUUUCCUUCCUGGAGAUGGCUCUCAGAUGCGCAUCAAACUGCCCACCUGAAAGAAGCAGGCUAUAAUCUCCCCUGCCCACAAUAUUCAGCAUAUUAGACCUGCUAAAGACACUCCCAGCUAAAGUUAGGGGUAAAAUCAGGCAUGUGAAUGAGAACAUUCUGUAAGUAAAUGUGGGGAGGGAGGGAACCACUGCAAAGGCAUAACCCAACCUUAUUUAAGCACUUUCACAGCCCAUCGACUUUGCUGUGCACAUGCUUAAAUGUUUCCUGUUGCCAUCAGACUGCUUUGCCUUGCCUGGAUUGAGCUCAAUUGUGUAUACGAAAAGCCACGUAAAUGCAGCCAAAGCUUUUUGCAAACGUGAAUGAAUUCCCACAGUGACCCUAUGGCAUAUGUAAAUAUUAAUGUUAAUCGCUAAGUCCAAGGACAAUUGAGACUAGUCAUGAGAUGGUUCAUUAAGUUCCUAUUGUGUUUACAUCUUCAAAUGUCAAUAAGCCAAAGAUCUGGAACAAUGCUAACCACAUCAAAUACCAGUCAGUAUGUUUCAAUUGACUAUAUAAUGAAUUCCUCAGACGAGCUACUAUGCAUUUCUCAGGCAGUACUGUUGUUAGAGCUGAGGGCAAACUAUGCUGCUGUAUUGGGCGAUGCAAGCAAAUCUUGGAAAUUCAAAAUGGUAGGGUAUGAUAUUGGGAAGACUGUUAAGUUGUGGGUGAACAUAUCAGAUGACACAGCGAUUCUUCAAACAGCUCUUGUUUAUUCACAGGCCAGAACAGAACUUCAAUACAUAGUAAAAUCAAUGAAUGUUAGAAAAAUGUUGGAAUGAAGUUACAUGGCUUUAGCAGAAAUGUUAUAAGGAAUUAAGUAUAAAUAGAUUAAUAGAGUAUUAAAGGAAAAAAUAAGGUUAGAAUGAGUUAAGAUAAUUAUAGGAUAGGAAACAGAGGAAGAUGGAAAGGAAUUGCUGAAACAAUUAACAGAAGUGGAAUACAAAAAGGGAGGUGUGAGGAGGUCAUGGAAAUAAGUGAAUGAAAGAUGGGAUAAUGAAAUUGUUUGAUUUAUUUUAUUUUUUUUUUGUUUGGUUUGGUUAGUUUAAUGUAUUGUAUUGUAUUGUUUUUUGUUUUGUUUUUUUAGUGUUUAAAUUUUUUGGAAAAGUACUAAAUAUUAUUUUUUUUAAAAAAAACAGAACUUCAAUACAUAACACCCCUCCCCACCAAGAUAAGGCAUUAGUUACAAUCAUAGUGGUUCCAUUACAUACAGCAAUACCCUUAUUGGUUUCAGUAAGGCACAUAAGCAUAUUAAUUGACCCUAUUCACCAUACAGCUUUACAUGAGCAGUUUGUCCAGUGAACAUAGUCUUUUAAAUACGCUGGGCGCUUGGAAACCCUGCUGGCUCACCGAAGGCCAGUACCAGAGUCCGGGUGGCCUUGCGGAUUUCCUGGGCGGAGAGUUCAGCAGCUUCUGAGGCCACAGCCUCCUCAAUGGCUUUCUACAGCGUGAGGUCUGGCUUGGCGAGGAGACGCCAUUGCAGACGGAUGUCCCGGACCCCGCAGACGAUUCGAUCCAUCCAUCAGUCUAAGUCUCGGAACUCGCAGUGCAUUGCAGCCUGUCGGAGGGCGGCGGUGUAGUUGUUGAUUGAUUCCCCCUCUGCCCGGUUCCGGUGAUAGAACGCAUGGCGGGCAGCAAUCUUGGACGGCUUUGGCGCGUAGUGGUUGCGGAGCUUCUCUCUACAGACCCUCUUGUAAGCUCAUUUGCUUGGAGGUAGCAGUCGAACCGAGCGAGAUAGGAGUCCCAUGAUUCAGAGGCUGGGGCAAACGGCGGUAGAGGCACGAGUGAAGCCAUGGUUCCAAUGCCGACGUGGAAGCGAUGGAUGGAACACAGUGCUCUAGCCAGAACAGUCAGCUCUGAAUUGGUUCUGCUCCGUGAUUUCGCUCAGUGUUUCAGCUCCGUGAUUCAACUUAUCUCAGAGGGUGGCCGUGUCUGGCUGUGCGCUGAUGUCCAUUGAUCCCAUCCUCGUCGCCACUGUUAAGUUGUGGGUGAACAUAUCAGAUGACACAGCGAUUCUUCAAACAGCUCUUGUUUAUUCACAGGCCAGAACAGAACUUCAAUACAUAACAAAGACAACUUUCCUAGUAUUCUUACUGUUAUAGGUGAGACACCAAGAAGCAAUGCUGUUUACUUAAGAGUAGACCCCACCAUGUACAACAUGUUCACUCCCAGCCCCAGGCAAAGAUGCAUAGGAAUGUACUGUAAAGGUAUAAUCUGGUUAGACAAUCCUAUCCAAACAUAUCUGCCACUCCCUCUUUCUGAACAUUAUUGCCUUCAAAACAAAAGGUUGGAGAGAGAUUUCGACCUAGUAGGAAAGCUUCUUCUUCUCCCUCUCUCUUCCUCUUCCUCCUUCUCUCCAUGCCUGGUGAAGUUAUGACGGUGUAGAGACAACUGGACUAUUGGAUGGAACUGCCAGAGUCCUCAAAAAUGUGUACCUUCCUGUACCUUUAAUAGCCAGUAGUUCAUCUUUGGGGAUCGUAUUAGCUUCCUUCAUGUGCUAUAUAGUUCAGGGCAGUGGGAGCACAUUGCUGGAUUUCUGCAGGGAGAGGAAAUCCUGCUUGCAUGAUGGGAACUCUAUUCACAUGUUAUUUGCAAACGGUAUUACAGCCUUCAGGGUCGCAACUCCUUCCUCAAAGUACUGUGUGUCGCACACAGUUGUCUGCAGAGGAACCCGAAUGUACAAGCUGCUGCUCCAGGGUGGAUUUGAUUUAAAUCAAAGCGAUUUAAAUCACGAUUUAAAUCACUAGUCAGCAAGACAUGAUUUAAAUCACUAGUCAGUAAAACUUGAUUUCAAUCUAUUUUUUUACAGAAAGACUCAUUCUUGCUGGUAUAAUCUUUAUAUUUACAACCAGAGGAAGGUUUCAUUUUUGGAAUAAUACAUUUUCAGAGUAGUUUGUUUUUACAGUUAUAUCAAAAAUUACUCUUUGGUUAUACUAUUAGAAAUACAUAGACAGAUAAUUAUGAAAUUAUUGUGAGGUUUAAUAAGUUAACUGUUUAUAUUGGGGCAACUUUUCUGCUGUACUUUAUUGGAAGGAGAAAAAUAACCAAUUCCUUAAUAACAAUUUAAAGAAUUUAUUGGACUAAAGCAAUAACAUUAUAGCAUAUGUAUCCAUGUUUGUUAACUGAUGUGGUUAAACGUGUGUUGUUGUCGUUUUUAAUAAAACUUAGACUGAAUUUGAGCACACAUGAAAAACUUUUAAAAAAUCCUUAUUUCCUGUUGAAUAGCCUUUGGACUAUAAUGUAACUUAAAUAGAAAACUAUCUUUAGAAAGAUUUUUCCUCCAAAAGCAUUUUAUUUUAAAAAUCCGAUUUAAAUCAAGAAAAUCUAAUUUAAAUUUUUAAAAAUCCAAUUUUUUAAUUUUUUAAAAAAAUCAUUUAAUUUUAUCUACCCUGUGCUGCUCAUGUGAGGAGACACUGCGUGAUUGGGGCAUAUUAUAGAGUAGGCCUUCUAACCAGAUGGAUCCUCACAUGUUUGGGUUCUGAAGACAACCACACACAACACAUGGCUGUUGCUAGAAGAAUACAUUAUGUCGACUCAAGCUCCACUCUGGAGCAGAAACAGGGCAAGGGACAUAGCAGGCAGGUCCAGUUGUCACCACCUGAUUUCAGGGGCAAAGGACAGCAAUGUCCUGGGACUUAAAAUUUACAGCAUGCUGUGCGUUGAAGGAGAACUAUAUGAAAAUGAUGUAUCGGUGGUAUUUAACACCUAUAAAAUUAUAGCAAAGAAAAAAUUCGGGCUGCAGGCUGCUAUCCGCAAGCCUUCGGAGCCCGGCAGGAACUCCCACCGCACUCCGAAGGCUUGCGGAUAGCUUCCUGAAGCCUGGAGAGCGAGAGGGGUCGGUGUGCACCGACCCAUCUCGCUCUCCAGGCUUCAGCGAAAGCCUGCAUUCGCUCCAGAGGACGCACACACAUUUCCCCUUCAUUUUUGGAGGGGGGAAAGUAUGUCCUAUAGAGCGAAAAAUACGGUAUGUUGGAAAUGUAAGGAGAAGGAAGGCACAUUCUACCAUAUGUGGUGGACGUGCAAGAUAACAAAAGCAUUCUGGGAAAUGAUUUAUAAUAAGUUGGAAAAAAAUGUUUAAAAUAACGUUUGUGGGGAAAACAGAGGGUUUUUUAUUAGGAAUUUUAGGUACAGAGAUACCAAAGGAGCAGAAACGAUUAUUUAUGUACACAAUGACAGCAGCGAGGAUACUACUGGCCCAGAGAUGGAAAGAAGAUAAAGUCCUGAACAGAGACAAAGGGCUGAUGAAGAUGAUGGACUACGCCGAAAUGGCGAAAACAACUAGGAAAAAUUAGAAACCAGGAAGAGAAGAACUUCAAGAAGGAUUGGGGAAAAUUUACAAUGUAAUUAAGAGAACAAUGUAAACAACUAAAAACUUUGGCAGGAUUUGAGUAACGCUUGUAAUGUACUAAAAAUUAUGGUAAAAAUGGAUUAUUUGGGGAAAAUCGAGGAAAUAAGUGAAGCAGUUGGGGGGGAAAUGAUAAGGGUAACCAUGGAAGUGGGGGGUGGGGGAGUCAAAGAAUUCAGGUAAUCCUAAAUGAAUUUAAAUUUGCAAUGUAAAACUCAAUAAAAAAGAUUUUUUUAAAAAAAAGACAGCAAUGUCCUUGAAUGGGCUUUUUACACAUGAAUGGCCCCUUCGCUCCUUUUUCUUCUCCGCAUCUUUUCAUCAAAGGGCUUCUACCAUACUCAGCUCUUUGGGUUUAAGCCAAAGAGGCAAGUAAUUAGGGGGAAAACCCCAGGCAAAUUCUGCUAGAAACCUCGCAGAAAUGAAAGGAGCUUGAACACAGAGCUGUGCCGAAGCUGUGAACACGAGAAGUUUGAGGUAUCUUACACGCUUCCGAACCCAUCAGUCUAAUACAGUGGGCUGCUCCCUUGUCACUGCAGAGGAGUUCAGAGUGGAUAUUUGUGACUCCUUGAUACGUUUAAUCUUUUGUUAUUAUGCUUUUAAAUUAAUACAAAAUUGCUUUAAAAAGAAACUGGUAAUUAAUCAUAAUCUUAAGCAAUUAAGAGGAAAUAAUCCUACUUUGUUCGAGUCAUAAUGAGCGAGGAGUCAUUUGGAGGUGAUUAUAUGGAUAAUCCAAUUGGAUUUAUUCCAGGGUAAGACUGUAGCUCCCAUUCAUUAGGCCAAUUAUGAUACAGUGUGCUGUAGAAUUUUCACCUCAUAAGUUUAAAUAUAAUAGUAACAUUGAUUGUGUGAGCUAAUGCAGAAGGCUGUACAAUCUUCAGCUAGUGCCAGGACUGAGUUUCUGCCCUAUAUAGACAUCAGCACACAGUUUGCCAUUCCAAUAGUAACUACAUCAUGGGACGGAACAAAAUGUCAAUAAAUUCAGUAUGCUUUGUGGAAGGAAGGAGGGAAGAGGAAGGGGAAAGAAGAAAAGCCAUGAUUUUGAAUUAUUUCAAAAUUUCAGGAUACAAGCAUUUUACAGUCUUAAUCUCACCCUAACACCAAGCUCUGAUCAGAAACAUUUAUUUGAUUGAACAUCCAACUUUUCAGGAUAAGGAUCCCAACAAGAUGUUGCACAAAUCAUUAAUAAAACAUGCAGAAUCUAGAAUUGAAAAUCUACCGUUGCACUCCUUUAAAACAAGCAGCAAAUAUAUUAGGAUGUCAAGAACAAUUAAAAAAGAAUAAGAAGUGUGUUGUAACCCUGACCCCUGUCAUAUACCUGGACUGACAAUAAGUGCCGGGGGUGGUUUACAUGUACAGGGGAGAAAGCAAAUUAUUUAUGAAGUGUUAAAGCUUUUGUGUUAAUUUACAGUUACAUCUAAUUUGCAGUAUACUUGAUAAAAUGAAAUCAUACCUUGCAAAUCACUCACUGCUUUGUUCGCUGCCACUUGUUAUAUAAAUGAAUAAAAGAUUUAGAUCUUCCCUUUUGUUUCAAGGCAACAUAUAAAAACAGUUGUAAAACAUAAAAUUCACGAUUACCGAAAACCUCAGUAAGACACAGCAAUUAAAAAAUAAAAAAUAAAAGCCAGAACAACAUACAAACAUUACAGAGAGUAUUAAAAAAAACUUACAAAGGGGCUAUGCAUCCUUCAGAGGGGAUUGCAUUUAUUAAAUAUGGGGCAGUCACAGAAAAGGCCCUGUCCCUGGGACCUGCUCCUACCUACAAGUCAGAGAGCAGGGCUUCUGAAGCCUAUAGUAGAGGUUGAGCAGGUUCAUAACAGUGCAGGUAAGGUAAAGGUAAAAGGACCCCUGACUAUUAGGUCCAGUCGUGACCGACUCUGGGGUUGCGACACUCAUCUCGCUUUAUUGGCUGAGGGAGCCAGCGUACAGCUUCCGGGUCAUGUGGCCAGCAUGACUAAGCCACUUCUGGCAAACCAGAGCAGCACAUGGAAACACCGUUUACCUUCCCGCUGGAGCGGUACCUAUUUAUCUACUUGCACUUUGACAUACUUUCGAACCGCUAGGUUGGCAGGAGCAGGGACUGAGCAAUGGGAGCUCACCCCCUCGCGGGGAUUUGAACUGCCGAUCUUCCGAUCCGCAAGUCCUAGGCUCUGUGGUUUAAAUUAAGGUUGAUCUUAAUUUUAUUUCCUGACAUCUCAUGGCUGCACCAAAUAUUAAUCCACGUUUGUCAACAAUUUUAUUAGAAGAAAUCUCAGGAUGCAGUAGGUGGAAAUAGUCCACACUGUAAUGUUUCACCCGUCUUUGGGUUUUGUGGUUAAUAUCCCUCUUUAUACUUGGAAUGCAUGUGUUUCAUAACUGUGGACUGAAUCGAUAAGAGCAGCCCAGGCUGCUUUGAUUUUCCCCCUUUUCUUCCUCCCAUCACCAUCUUCCUAAGCCUUGAGAUUGCUCAUAUGUGCAUCAAGGAGCCUUUUGUGUCCCAUCUACGGUAUGGAAGCUGAGGAGGUUCUGAUCCGCCAAGUGUUUUAUGUGGUGUCAUGAUCUUGUCUCCAAAGUUAAAGGCUGAAAUAUGCUUCUCUGUUUCAGUAAUAUCACAAGGCGGCUUGACUGGCACCGAGAUUUACACAUCACUCCCUCAAGGAUCCUGUCAGGAGAAUAGAUCAGUCAGCAAAUGGCGUAUCAGCAGCCAGGGAAAGAACACAAACGUGGACCCGGGGUCAAUUAUAUAGUCUUGCCACAUCCAGCGCAUGUCUGUCGAGAGCCGGAGACUUGGCAAUGGCCCACCCCAACAUCUGGACAGCAGCAGCAAACGGUGUUGCCCUUCUAAGAUGAAAGGAAAUCACACAUGUGAAACAAAACCAAGCUGAAGGUUUGAAGGUUGUGAGAGAAGAAUCAUGAACCAAGAAGGAAGAAGAGGGACUUUGUUUUUUUGAAAUAAUUUCUAUUGGUUUUUACAAAAUAAAUCUCAC
Molecule: long non-coding RNA, 16737 nt
Filed under: Podarcis lilfordi (Lilford's wall lizard)
Lineage: Eukaryota; Metazoa; Chordata; Lepidosauria; Squamata; Lacertidae
Source: RNAcentral